This 1096-nucleotide ribosomal RNA is filed under the name Acinetobacter baumannii. RNAcentral describes it as "partial 23S ribosomal RNA". It matches the Rfam family "Bacterial large subunit ribosomal RNA", at positions 1 to 1147 of the family's 2925-position model. Lineage: Bacteria; Pseudomonadati; Pseudomonadota; Gammaproteobacteria; Moraxellales; Moraxellaceae. The record is from RNAcentral.
AGUCAAGUAAUUAAGUGCAUGUGGUGGAUGCCUUGGCAGUCAGAGGCGAUGAAAGACGUGAUAGCCUGCGAAAAGCUCCGGGGAGGCGGCAAAUAUCCUUUGAUCCGGAGAUGUCUGAAUGGGGGAACCCACCUACUUUAAGGUAGGUAUUGCAACAUGAAUACAUAGUGUUGCAAGGCGAACGAGGGGAAGUGAAACAUCUCAGUACCCUUAGGAAAAGAAAUCAAUUGAGAUUCCCUCAGUAGCGGCGAGCGAACGGGGAUCAGCCCAUUAAGUUAUGUGUGUUUUAGUGGAACGCUCUGGGAAGUGCGAACGUAGAGGGUGAUAUUCCCGUACACGAAAGGGCACACAUAAUGAUGACGAGUAGGGCGAGGCACGUGAAACCUUGUCUGAAUAUGGGGGGACCAUCCUCCAAGGCUAAAUACUCCUGACUGACCGAUAGUGAACCAGUACCGUGAGGGAAAGGCGAAAAGAACCCCUGUGAGGGGAGUGAAAUAGAUCCUGAAACCGCAUGCAUACAAGCAGUGGGAGCACCUUCGUGGUGUGACUGCGUACCUUUUGUAUAAUGGGUCAGCGACUUAUAUUCAGUAGCAAGGUUAACCGUAUAGGGGAGCCGUAGAGAAAUCGAGUCUUAAUAGGGCGUUUAGUUGCUGGGUAUAGACCCGAAACCAGGCGAUCUAUCCAUGAGCAGGUUGAAGGUUGGGUAACACUAACUGGAGGACCGAACCCACUGUCGUUGAAAAGCCAGGGGAUGACUUGUGGAUAGGGGUGAAAGGCUAAUCAAGCCUGGUGAUAGCUGGUUCUCCCCGAAAGCUAUUUAGGUAGCGCCUCGGACGAAUACCAUAGGGGGUAGAGCACUGUUUCGGCUAGGGGGUCAUCCCGACUUACCAAACCGAUGCAAACUCCGAAUACCUAUGAGUACUAUCCGGGAGACAGACUGCGGGUGCUAACGUCCGUAGUCAAGAGGAAAACAAUCCAGACCGCCAGCUAAGGCCCCAAAAUCAUAGUUAAGUGGGAAACGAUGUGGGAAGGCAUAGACAGCUAGGAGGUUGGCUUAGAAGCAGCCACCCUUUAAAGAAAGCGUAAUAGCUCACUU